GGGGGGGGGGGGCAGUCUGGGUUUUUAUUAUCUGUUAUUUAAUAAAGCAUCCGAGUCUCUCCACACACCACGGACCGUAAUUACAUUUGUACAGGAUUUUCUAUUCAGCACACACACUUGAGACCAUUAACACAGAAAACUAAACUGGCAGCAGCACAUAAUGACCCUUUGUGUGUCCGUCAUGAGAACACGCAUGACGCAUGUUUUUUCACUCACACACUCCCAGAUUUGUCCUUUUUCUCCAAUGGAUCGAACUGGUCUCUGCAGAAUGUUGACAGGAAUCAGUGAUUUCCCUUUUUAUUGAAAACAGCCCUUUAUUAUUGUUUCCUUUGAUUCUUCCCAACCGACCUCAUUAUUUGUGUGAGUGACACAGUUUAUGUUUCAUGUUGACAUCAUUUGUGUGGUUGUGGUUUAAAGGGUCAAAAAACAGGUUUGAAGUUUUGCACAUUCAAAAAGUCGGUCGGGCUGCAGUUCCUCAAAUGGCCACUUGGGGUCUAAAAGCCAGUAAGUGACCAUAGAUUUCGAUGUUAAAAUGAUUAACUUUAACACCCAAAUGAACAUGUUUUUAGUCCCCUAUGAAGACUCGGCGUUGUUCUCUUCUUUGUUGCUGUUAAUGACAAUUGACUCCCAUUUGAGUGACAUGGAUUCUUGUUUUAAUCAAGCUUUAUCCAACACUUUUAUCUGCCUAUAUUUGGGAUAAUUGGCCCUUUCUGCUGGUAGGUGGAGACUUGGAGACGUCCAACGUUUGCCAUUGGUCUGAAAUAAGUGUCUUUGGCUCCGGAUGUGACCCGAAACCAACCCAAACAGUGUGUGAGGAAUGGCAGACUUUUUAAACUUAAAAACUCAUUUAAACAGACACAAUGAAAUCCAAGGCACAUUUUUAGCAAACACGUCGUCACUAAUCCAUGAAGGGUCCUCGGUAGUUUUCAUGUGGCAAACAACGUUCUCGACUAGACUGUUCUUGUAAUUCUAAACCACAACCAUCAUGAUCAGACACCCGUGCAACUCUCUGAUCUUUCAGCUUUUAUCAAACACCACACGUGUAAAUCGUAGCACAGUUUGGGAUCUGACGCCUGUAUCUGUUGGACUCUCUGCUGCACGCUGCUGCAUUAAUGCGUUUAUUAAUCAUCCUGCUGGAUUCCCCGAGGAGAGUUUGAAACAACAAGUUCCUGUAUUCAUUAGCUGCCUUUGACCCGUAAACAGGGCAUUUGUGAGGAGAAAUGUUAUGUGUGUUGUAAAAACGUUACAGACAUGAACCGUAAACCGAAGCCUAAAUGGAUUCUGUCAUUUAAUAUCCUUCCCAAUCACUUCUCACAAGGCGAGCGGCGCAGACCACUCCUCAGAGCUCUAAUGGGCUGAAACCAAACCUCUAAUUCAACUUCCUCGAAGCACUAACUCCCGUGAAAGAGACAUCAGUUGUCACACAUUCACAUAAAAGUGUGGUUUUCUGUCUGAUCUGCACAGGGAAACCGGUGAGACAGCAGCUUGUGGUCCAUUGGGGAGAGAAGUAGGAGGACGGACGCUGCAUUGAUCAUACGUGUAGCCGGAGCGCCUCCACCUUGCAGCGCCGGAUGGAAACGUGGGGAUGUUCGCUUCCGUUGGUCUUCAAACCUCCAUCACAGCCCGUACUGGUCUCCAUGCUACCUCGUUUUUAUUAACUAUCCAUAUCAGUUUAUGUGAACUACAAACCAUUAAAUUUGAUAUAUUCAUUUAACGUUCAACGUUGUCCAUCAGAUACACCGUCUGCAUCCGGGUCACAUCCGCCCUCAGACACACAAACACUGUGUCGUGCUGAUGACGCACAAACUCACCUGCUGAAAACAUUUGAGGGUUUUCUGUAAAUCUGUCCAACAACAAACGCUCCUUCGUAAACGUGUCAACACAUUUGAUCCUCGGACCAGUGUCCACUUUCCUAACUCCUCGGGAACUCUCCUCACCACCUUUCCUUGGCCCUGUGACCUUUUUCCACACAGGUCAAGGAACAGUGGUUAGGAAAAGACGCUGGGAGACGUUUUUUGACGACUCGAAUCCAGCCAGAGAAUUAUUCAAAUUAAAGAGGGAAAUUCAACAGUCAGCGCGUGUUUUCACCUGCAGAGGAGUCGACGUGAACAGAACAGAAAAUGUCUUUUUCCCGCCAACAUUUGCCUUUUGAAAGAGAACCGCCGGCUCGGAAAGAAGCCAACUGCCUUCCCCCUGUGGUUGUGUAAUCACUUAAUCCCCCAUGUGCUCUGUGUUGUUGUCAUGUGUUUUAGUGCCGUGUGCAAUUCAAUAAAGGUGUUUGACAGCAGACGUCCUGCAUACAAUCCAAUAACCUUUCAUUUUGAUGGCAAAGGGAAUGCUGAAGCGCGUGUAGUUGAGGGUAAAAUAUAACACGUCCUUGUUAACAAAAGGAGAACGAAGCAGUAGAAUUACACACAUAUCCAAACGCUGACGAAAAAACUAAAGAAUGGACACUACCGGGACCAGAGGGACCAGAAGAACCCUGUUGGCUACCAAGACAGGAAGGGAUCUCGGCUGUAACCGAGAUCUGAGCCUGAAAAUCUAACUUUGAAAUGUGUGACCUAUUUGUCUGCCCCACAAGUAGAACUCUAGUUAUUAUAAUAGUUAUGAAACCAAAGACGCCUUGUAACCUCAACAAUCCACAUGUUCACCAAAGAAAGGUCAUGUAUCUUCUGCUACAGGCACGGCGUGUGUGGGGGUGAAGGUGUCCUUCACCAGAUAAAUCGGGGUCUCAGGGGCUUUGUUUCAUUCCAGUGAGUUUAGUAGAACUAAAAUACAAAAAGCAGGAUUGUUUUGGUCCUAAAUACUGUUGAUGUCAUGAAGAAGAUAAAUGAGAUUCAACGACGCUAAUGGACCUUUACUUUCACCAGUUGGACGGCGACAGCGAGAUUGUGAUGAUUAAAACAUUAACAACUUGCUUCAUCCACACAUUAUUACUGGCAGAUAAGUGUCAGCUUUGUUGGGCUCAAUGUCCGUAGCUAGUGUAUCAUUUAAGUAUGGCACGAUUAGCAAGAUAGCUAGCCAGAUACUGGGCAGUUGGCUAGUUAGCUAGUUAGCUAGCUAGCCAUUCCUGCACGAUUUAUUGCCCCAACGGGAUCCCGACAGCGCUAUUGAUGAUAUGUAUGUGGUGCUUGGCGCUCUGAAUAACGAUAAAAACUAUGUUAAUGUUCUAAUCACACCUCACGGUUCCCAACAGGGUCAGAAUAUUAAAAAUGAGCUUUAAUCCCUUGAAACACUCGACUGAGCAACGAACCUUUCAACGUGAUGCUAACGGACUGCGACGGACAGUCACCAGAGAGGAAGUAGGAGGUCUCACACAGUCGGUCAGACGGCUGAGCGUCGCCUUCGCUCAGACACAUUUACCACGUGGACGUGACUGGAAACCCCGACGUUUAGACGUUCACUUCACCGCGGCUUCUUUGAUGUUUCACUCGAGGAGGUUUAUUCAGAUAUGAAACUAAAGCUCUCUGUAAACCCCCCCGGGCUCCACUUGGGAUAUUUUAUUGGGAACAGGCAGAUGAGGAAAAGCUUCAGCAAGGCUCCCGUAACGUUUCCUCCGGGACUCGUUUGCGUACGACAAUAUUGACUCAGGCAAAAAAGGUGUGUCGGCCCAGGUGGACCGAUGUCACCUGACAGCCUUUUGCUUUUGUGGUUUCUGUUAUUUAAGCAUCGGACCUCAAUCAUAAUAAGUAAAUGUUGACAGAGGGCAGCUGUCUCCUGGGUGAAAGUCUGCUUCUUGUGUGUUUGCUCCUCGUCGUCGUUGUAAAGACUUUUAAACAUCUUAUCAAUGUAAAAAAUCUCCCGUUUGUCCCGUCGUGCAGCUUAUUAACUUUAAACUGUUUUUUUUGUUUACUUUGUAAAUUGUAUCGCAGUUUGGCUUUGAAGGUAAAACAAAUUCAACAAUUAUUUUUACUGUUUUUUUUACUAUAUUUAUUCAUUUGUAUUUACAACGAAUGUAAAACAAAAAGGAAAAACGCUGCAUGUAAAUAAAUGUCAGAGAAAACUCUUAAAACUUUAAAUAAAACUUGUUUGUUUAUGUUUUAAAAGAGCAAUUCUCUCUUUGGUUUUUUUUGCUUUCUAAAUUUGUUUACUCUGUUUUUGUGUUUUCUAUAUUUCGCCUUUUCUGUGUGUUCUGUAUUUCAUGUGCGAUCUGAGUGUGUUUUUAUGCAGUUGUGUGUGUUGUGUUGGUGCUGCCGUGUCCUGAGGGUCUGUGGACCAACAAACAGAACAGUCGAUGUUUUGUUCCACUGUGUUUUACUUCAGCCAGGAGGCCUGGAAACAGAGUUUGACACAAUACUGGAUUUCUGCAGGAAAUAAAAAGCCAGUGUCAGUGGCCAUUACCCAGAGUUCAUAGCACUUCUCCUCUUCAUGGGUGGAACACGAUGCUGAUUAAGAUGUCGCUUCUCAAGAAGCUGGCGAAGAAGACAAUGCUGAUGAAGACGUCUCAGAUGAAGACGUUGCAGAUGAAGACGCUGCCGAUGAAGACGAUGGAGAUGAAGACGUUGCAGAUGAAGACGUUGCCAAUGAAGAUGCUGCUGAUGAAGACGUUGGCAAUGAAGACACUGAUGAUGAAGACAAUGCCAAUGAAGACGCUGAUGAUGAAGACGUUGCCAAUGAAGACGUUGCAGAUGAAGAUGAUGGCGAUGAAGACAAUGCCAAUGAAGACGCUGAU
Gasterosteus aculeatus aculeatus (three-spined stickleback) is the source of this 4672-nucleotide long non-coding RNA. The record is from Ensembl. Lineage: Eukaryota; Metazoa; Chordata; Actinopteri; Perciformes; Gasterosteidae.